Molecule: long non-coding RNA, 574 nt
Filed under: Chrysemys picta bellii (western painted turtle)
Lineage: Eukaryota; Metazoa; Chordata; Testudines; Emydidae
Description: lncRNA (ENSCPBG00000015719.1)
Source: RNAcentral
CAGCAGCCCCCUCCUCGCCAGUAAAACAAGUUGUGGCAUACAACACUCCGCUCCCUGAUGAGGGGGUCCUCUGAUCCAUGUCACCCCUACUGACUAGACAAUCUUGAUUUUAUUUUUUACAGUGUAACCCGCUGUGCUCUGCAAGCACCAUCAGAGCUCCUUCAAAAGACAAAUCAGCCUGCCAGCUCUGGAAAGGAUGGGCAUGGACCCUGACUUCUGAGGACACUGGUGCCUAGCCUACUAGUGUGUUUGUGCUGGAAUUAAGCAGAAACAUGUAGCUAAAAUAAGAGAAGCAAUAAUCCCAAUCUGGUCAGAAGCAGUACAGGUGAGUCGCAUCAUAUGCGCAUUUAAUUUACGCGAAUUCAACUAUACGCGCUUGGCAAAAAAAAGAAAACAAGAUACCUGUAAAUAGUGCGGGCGAUUCCACCCUCCAUUCCACUCAAUGAGUGUAUGCCCCGGAGUGAGCAUGAGAUGGGAAACGUGAAUCUGCUGUUCCCUCAGUCAGUCUUAGUUCCCGCAUGCCUCGCAUAGUGUGAGCAUCUUGCCGCGCUGAGUGUGAUUCUAGUGUUUAAAG